CCCGGGCCCCCCCCAAAAUUUGGGGGGUUUCCCCCCCCAUUGUACCUAAUCCCCCUUGGAAACCCUAAAAAUCCGUUAAAAUUGGGGGCCCCCCCAAAGGGGAACCUUGGGGUUAAUUGACCACAGAACCCCCCGGUUUUCCCCUGGGGCCCCUAAAAAAAAAUGUUUUCCCGGGGCAGGGGCCAAGGGGCAAUGGUUCAAUCGUUCGUUAACCGUUGUAGUCCCGAAAUCAACCCUUUAUGUUAGUCCCAUCAAAGUUGCUUAAGGGACUGCGGUUACCCCGGAGGAAGGUGGGAUGCGUCAAAUCAUCAUCCCCUUAUGCGUGGCUCCGUGCAACAAUGGCGAUACGGGCAGUUGCAACUCGGAGAGGGAGUAUCCGAUAAAGUCGUUCCAGUUCGGAUUGUAGGCUGCUACUCGCGUACAUAACCGGAAUCGAGUAAUCGCGGAUCAGCAUCCGGGUAAUGGUUCCGGGCUUGUACACUACCGCCUGUCACGACCUGAGAGUUUGACACCCAAGUCGGGAGGUAACGCUUGGAGCCAGCCGCGAAACUGGCUCACC
RNAcentral lists this ribosomal RNA (559 nucleotides) under Lysinibacillus sphaericus. Its description in RNAcentral is "partial 16S ribosomal RNA". Lineage: Bacteria; Bacillati; Bacillota; Bacilli; Caryophanales; Bacillaceae. The record is from RNAcentral.